RNAcentral lists this transfer RNA (90 nucleotides) under bacterium. RNAcentral describes it as "tRNA-Ser". It matches the Rfam family "tRNA". Rfam says of the family: Transfer RNA (tRNA) molecules are approximately 80 nucleotides in length. Their secondary structure includes four short double-helical elements and three loops (D, anti-codon, and T loops). The record is from RNAcentral. RNAcentral also lists the same sequence under 1 other name.
GGAGGGGUGGCAGAGCGGUUGAAUGCAGCGGUCUUGAAAACCGCCGAACCCGCAAGGGUUCCGUGAGUUCGAAUCUCACCCCCUCCGCCA